This is an unclassified non-coding RNA of Pongo abelii (Sumatran orangutan), 130 nucleotides long. It matches the Rfam family "Metazoan signal recognition particle RNA". Rfam says of the family: The signal recognition particle (SRP) is a universally conserved ribonucleoprotein. It is involved in the co-translational targeting of proteins to membranes. The record is from Ensembl. Lineage: Eukaryota; Metazoa; Chordata; Mammalia; Primates; Hominidae.
GCCGGGCGUGGUGGUGCACGCCUGUAGUCCCAGCUACUUGGGAGGCUGAGAUGGGAGGAUUGCUUGCGCCCAGGAGGUUGAGGCUGCAACUGCACUCCAGCCUGGGUGACAAAGUGAGACCCUGUUUCAA